Non-coding RNA from Mycena metata, 92 nucleotides. NCBI's taxonomy places the organism in Eukaryota, Fungi, Basidiomycota, Agaricomycetes, Agaricales, Mycenaceae. The record is from the annotation of a GenBank genome assembly.
CACCUGGUAGCACAUGGUGUGCACCUGCCUUUCUUUAGUAUUCUUUCAAGGUCUGUGGGCAGGAGAUCCCCGUUCGAUUCGGGGUCGGGUGA